UUUUAGCCCAGAUAGAAAUGAAAAGCAUUUUACUGAAGAAUUCUAUUUUAUGUUGUGCUAAAAAAGCGACCUAAGAAGCUCUUUUUAGUGCUUACAAAAAAAGAAUUGUGGAUAAAAUCUUGAAAUGGAUAGCUGGAAUAACU
RNAcentral lists this small RNA (143 nucleotides) under Flavobacteria bacterium BAL38. RNAcentral's name for it is "Flavo-1 RNA". It matches the Rfam family "Flavo-1 RNA". Lineage: Bacteria; Pseudomonadati; Bacteroidota; Flavobacteriia; Flavobacteriales. The record is from Rfam by way of RNAcentral.